AACGAACGCUGGCGGCAUGCCUAACACAUGCAAGUCGAACGAGACCUUCGGGUCUAGUGGCGCACGGGUGCGUAACGCGUGGGAACCUGCCCUUAGGUUCGGAAUAACUCCCCGAAAGGGGUGCUAAUACCGGAUAAUGUCUUCGGACCAAAGAUUUAUCGCCUUUGGAUGGGCCCGCGUUGGAUUAGCUAGUUGGUAGGGUAAAAGCCUACCAAGGCGACGAUCCAUAGCUGGUCUGAGAGGAUGAUCAGCCACACUGGGACUGAGACACGGCACAGACUCCUACGGGAGGCAGCAGUGGGGAAUAUUGGAAAAUGGGCGAAAGCCUGAUCCAGCAAUGCCGCGUGAGUGAUGAAGGCCUUAGGGUUGUAAAGCUCUUUUACCCGGGAUGAUAAUGACAGUACCGGGAGAAUAAGCUCCGGCUAACUCCGUG
RNAcentral lists this ribosomal RNA (433 nucleotides) under uncultured bacterium. Its description in RNAcentral is "partial 16S ribosomal RNA". It matches the Rfam family "Bacterial small subunit ribosomal RNA", at positions 29 to 507 of the family's 1533-position model. The record is from RNAcentral.